RNAcentral lists this ribosomal RNA (468 nucleotides) under uncultured bacterium. RNAcentral's name for it is "partial 16S ribosomal RNA". It matches the Rfam family "Bacterial small subunit ribosomal RNA", at positions 28 to 507 of the family's 1533-position model. The record is from RNAcentral.
GACGAACGCUGGCGGCGUGCUUAACACAUGCAAGUCGAACGGAAAGGCCCUGCUUUUGUGGGGUGCUCGAGUGGCGAACGGGUGAGUAACACGUGAGUAACCUGCCCUUGACUGUGUGAUAUCUUCAGGAAACUGCGGCUAAUACCGGAUAGGAGCUCCUGCUGCAUGGGGGGGGUUGGAAAGUUUCGGCGGUUGGGGAUGGACUCGCGGCUUAUCAGCUUGUUGGUGGGGUAGUGGCUUACCAAGGCUUUGACGGGUAGCCGGCCUGGGAGGGUGGCCGGCCACAUUGGGACUGCGAUACGGACCAGUCUCCUACGUGAGGCAACAGGGGGGAAUAUUGCACAGUGGGCGGAAGCCUGAUGCAGCAACGCCGCGUGCGGGAAGACGGCCUUCGGGUUGUAAACCGCUUUCGCCUGUGACGAAGCGUGAGUGACGGUAAUGGGUAAAGAAGCACCGGCUAACUACGUG